UUAAGUCCGUAACGAGCGCAACCCUUGUCCUUAGUUUACCAGCACGUUAUGGUGGGCGACUCUAAGGAGGAACUGCCGGGUGGACAAACCGGAGGAAGGUGGGGAUGACGUCAAGUCAUCAUGGCCCUUACGGCCUGGGCUACACACGUGCUACAAUGGUCGGUACAAAGGGUUGCCAAGCCGCGAGGUGGAGCUAAUCCCAUAAAACCGAUCGUAGUCCGGAUCGCAGUCUGCAACUCGACUGCGUGAAGUCGGAAUCGCUAGUAAUCGUGAAUCAGAAUGUCACGGUGAAUACGUUCCCGGGCCUU
RNAcentral lists this ribosomal RNA (308 nucleotides) under uncultured Pseudomonas sp. RNAcentral describes it as "bacterial SSU rRNA". It matches the Rfam family "Bacterial small subunit ribosomal RNA", at positions 1080 to 1382 of the family's 1533-position model. The record is from RNAcentral. Lineage: Bacteria; Pseudomonadati; Pseudomonadota; Gammaproteobacteria; Pseudomonadales; Pseudomonadaceae.